RNAcentral lists this long non-coding RNA (424 nucleotides) under Setaria viridis. RNAcentral describes it as "long non-coding RNA (SVIR_LNC005062)". The record is from RNAcentral. Lineage: Eukaryota; Viridiplantae; Streptophyta; Magnoliopsida; Poales; Poaceae.
UCAAAGAUGUGCCGGUUCAAUCUCUGUAAGGGCAUGUAUUCAUAAAAUUAAGUUGCGUGUGUAUAUGUAAGCAUUGGCGUCUGUAUUUUUUUUAAAAAAGCAAACCACAGUAAUAACCACCAACAUGGAGAGCAAGACUCUUCAAACCUCACCAUUGCACUUUAACAGACCUAACAAACUCCAUUUACACAACACGUUCCAUCGCCGCCACCACUUUCGUUGGCAUCUUUCUUCCAGAGAGAAGGCUAUGCAUGUGGCGUCACUAGCUUUAAAAGCUUUGUCGAUCUUUUGAUCCUUUACCUGCGAUACAAGAAUACACACUUUUUGUCUAAUUAAUCCCCCACACUCUCCCUGCUGCUGUUGUAACACGUACCAGACUCUCCCUAUAUGUGCAGGCCAAGACCUGUCCACCUUCACACACACC